This 77-nucleotide transfer RNA is filed under the name Alteromonas sp. RNAcentral describes it as "tRNA-Arg". It matches the Rfam family "tRNA". Rfam says of the family: Transfer RNA (tRNA) molecules are approximately 80 nucleotides in length. The record is from RNAcentral. Lineage: Bacteria; Pseudomonadati; Pseudomonadota; Gammaproteobacteria; Alteromonadales; Alteromonadaceae. RNAcentral also lists the same sequence under 976 other names.
GCACCUGUAGCUCAGCUGGAUAGAGCGCUGCCCUCCGAAGGCAGAGGCCAGAGGUUCGAAUCCUCUCAGGUGCGCCA